Long non-coding RNA from Papaver somniferum (opium poppy), 1374 nucleotides. RefSeq lists it as uncharacterized. The record is from RefSeq and is a predicted model, not a curated record. The transcript is spliced from 2 exons. Lineage: Eukaryota; Viridiplantae; Streptophyta; Magnoliopsida; Ranunculales; Papaveraceae.
CUCUUCUUCUUUAUCUUACUUCUUCUUCUUCUUUCUUCCUUCUCUUCUUCUGUUGUUGUGUCAGGUUCGAUUUGAGAGAGUUUAUCGAAGAGAAUUAGUUGAUGAAGAUGUAUGGAUGAUGAAGGCGAUGACGUGGUUGCAGUUCAUGGUGGAAAAAUCAUCCGGAGAUCAACGAAUUAGAGCAGGGAGAAUUGAAUUACUGUUUUGUGAUUUGGGUUUGAUUUUUAUAGAAUUGAUAAGUUAUUGGGUUGUUGUUUGACGAAGAACACAGGGGUUGAGGUUUAGUUGAAGUUCUGAACCUGUCCUAGUGAUGAAUCGACAUAAAAGAAGUUCGUCUUUAUUAACAACGAUGGAUUCAAAGGAUGAACCAGUGGAUCGUGGAUCUCGAGGUAGGCAUGGCUUGUCAUCAAUUUAGGUGGCAACUCUGUAACCUUUUGUAAUCAUUAACCUUUCUUUUAUCUGCGAGCAUGAUGAGUCUUUACUAUUCGAGUGCAUGAUAGCGUAUACUGUGAUGUUCAAUUUUAUGUAUCUUUGAGUAUGAUGUUUCUGUUGUAUCUGUAUGUACGAUGUUUUCUAUGAUGUGUUUUAUGUGUAAUAUGUAUUGUGAGAUUUCCCUGCGAGGAGUGACUGUGUUUCCCCACGGCUCCUUGCUAAGUUAAGGAAGGCGGAUGCUCUUCCUUCACAAUAUUAUUUAGUAAAGCGGAUGCUCUUCCGUUUAAAUAUUACUUAGUAGGGCGGAUGCUCUUCCGUAUGAAUAUUAUUAUACUUUAAUUUUAUUGUCUUAAGAUAGUAGGGAGGAUGCUCUUCCGUUUGUAUAUUACAUAGUAUGGCGGAUGCCUUUCCGUUUUAAUAUUAUAUAUAUUAUUUUAUCUUGGGGCAAUCACUCGUGUGCAUAUUAUACUUGUUUGUCUGACUUUCUGAUCUUGAUGGUAAUAUUCUGAAUCAUGGUUAGUAUGGGCACUCUGUAUGUGGACGAUGUUAUUAUCAUUGAUUAGGGUUAUUCUCGCAUAGUCUUCUCCAAUGAGUUUGGCGAGUUUAGGAUAACACUUGAUUCUUGUUACCUGGUUUUGCUGAAUGCUUAGAUUUAUUACUUUUUCCUUUAAUUUACUGUUAUUUUAGAACUGUGAAGCAUAUUAGUGAUUACUUGAAAGUUAUAUGUUUCCAUUGGGCACCCCAAUGGGAUGAUGUGAUCACUCGUUCCCAGUCAGUUUCAGUUUUCAGAAGAGACGGCGCGCAUGAAGAUAUUAGUUACGUAGAUCGAAACUUUAGCAGAUUAAGAACGUUUAUGUAACUUUUAUAUAUAUGUGUGUUCUUAUUUAUCUGUAAAACAACACAUUAAUAUAUCCAUAUCAUUUGACGGUUUUCAUCUAUUAA